Betta splendens (Siamese fighting fish) is the source of this 799-nucleotide long non-coding RNA. RefSeq lists it as uncharacterized. The transcript has 5 exons. Lineage: Eukaryota; Metazoa; Chordata; Actinopteri; Anabantiformes; Osphronemidae. The record is from RefSeq and is a predicted model, not a curated record.
ACACAGGUCUUCAUCCCACCGCUGACCUGCGGGACACCGCUUGCCCUCGCCUUGACCUUCACACUGGCAUUCACCUGAAGGAGGAUAAGAUUACACCAGACCUUAUCAGACAUUGCUCUGGCACAUCUGGCAGCCUUGGUCUUGUGGUCCAGUUUCCAGCCUGGAUCACAGCUGUCUUCUGUGAGUCCAUUUCGACAAACACACUCACAGGUGGACUCCUGCAGAACCCUGUUGGGUCCACAGAGGACCAGCAGACCCGAGUCCAGUGCUUCUGGAACCCACAUAUAAAAGUAACGCAGAGAAAAAAGAUUUCUGUUUUUCAGUUACAAGGAAUAAACGGCAUUAGGAGGAAACGCACAUUCUAGUCUUUCCCGGAUGGAUGGAUGAAGUAUUUGGCUGUUGGAAUUUGUUCCGAGGUUAUUUUUACUCUCCACACCGCAGGGGGUCCCACCAAACUCUGCAGUGAUCUGCUGCGGCCCGUCUUAUGAUGGAGUGGAGUGGCCUUUUGGAGAGGCAUUCGCAUGAAGUGUGGUUGAUGAAGGUCACCAUGACGCGAUCCAUCCUGGGUGGGGACAGUUCCAUCAGCUAACAAGAUGAGAAGAAGAUUAGUGUCCAGGAGGAGUCCCAUUGCUGCCGGGUGGGUUGUUACAAACAGUAACUGGGUUCUGUUCUCUUUCCUGAGGCCUUUUUAAGGUGUAAGGGUAGAAAAUACCGAUGCAGCGGUGUAAUGGAGAAGAAUAAUUAAAGGGGUUUAAAAAAAACAAAAAACAAGAAGGAAAAUCCAGCUGCGUCACUUACU